This 1007-nucleotide long non-coding RNA is filed under the name Eucalyptus grandis. Its description in RNAcentral is "long non-coding RNA (EGRA_LNC007661)". Lineage: Eukaryota; Viridiplantae; Streptophyta; Magnoliopsida; Myrtales; Myrtaceae. The record is from RNAcentral.
UCUCUCGUGCUCUGCACACAAUUAUUUCUCUCGGAUUCUCUUUCCUUCGUUGCCUCUCCGAGGAAGAGGUAAAGAAAACCUCUUUCCUCUCCAGCAAACACUUCCAAAAUUUGAAUCUCUUUCUUCCUCUCAAAUUUAACUACUUCACGCUUGUUGCUUCUUUGACGUUCGUCAAGCAGCCAUUCCCUCGCCGUAGCCGACGAAGCACAUUAUCGCGCGCCCGAAAAGGAGUGAAGCAGAGGAGGGUUCUCGAAGUUCUUCAAGAGCAAGUACGAGCUUGGGGACGAACUUGGAAAAGGGCCUUGAAGAAGAGAGAAGUUUGGAGUAUUGGCAAGGCAACUCGUUUGGCUUCUUUCUCUGUUCAUCGCCGAUUGCCACCGCCAGUUCUUGUGCAAUUUUACUGCUCAAGAAUGGUUAGCUGACGUUUACGAAUGGUGAUAGUUAAGGGCCAAAAUUUGAAAUCCACUGUAAUCGAAGGCGGCGGCUCCCAAGGAGAAGGUUGUUAAGCAACUGUGAAGCCGAAAGCUGCGGUGGGUGUGAAGCCUAGAAGCCGAAGUUGAAGCCCGCGGCAAAAGCAGUGAAGACUUCUGCAAAGGCGAUGCCCAGGAAGAAAGCUAUGAAGAAGGUUGCCGCCGCGAAGGUUAAGAAGAAACCGGUGAAGAAGCCGAAGAGCGUGAAGCUGCUGAAGAAGGCCAAGAAUGGGGACGGGAUUUUAGACGAUGAUUUGGUUGUGUAUAGAAAAUGGUUUGGCAACAUUUGACAUAGCCUUUUUCUUUUUUUCUUUUUCUCUUGGUUUUUAAAUCGUGCUAAAUCUAUUCUUGUUAGCGCAAGUUUCUAUGUAAGCUUCUAGGGGAGAUUUUAUUAGAUGGUUGUGUUUGAUAAUGGGGAAUCGAAAAGCUGUGAGUCGUGUGGUGCUCCAAUGGUGGUUUCUUCCUUUGGGUCUGGCCUUCUUCUCCUUUCUCGCCACACGCUAACCAUACUUUUAUUCUUGGCGAUGUCAAAUGAAU